GGGGAAUUUUCCGCAAUGGGCGAAAGCCUGACGGAGCAAUACCGCGUGAGGGAGGAAGGCUCUUGGGUCGUAAACCUCUUUUCUCAGGGAAGAAAAAAAUGACGGUACCUGAGGAAUAAGCAUCGGCUAACUCCGUGCCAGCAGCCGCGGUAAUACGGAGGAUGCAAGCGUUAUCCGGAAUGAUUGGGCGUAAAGCGUCCGCAGGUGGCUGUGUAAGUCUGCUGUUAAAGAAUGAGGCUCAACCUCAUCAAAGCAGUGGAAACUACACGGCUAGAGUGCGUUCGGGGCAGAGGGAAUUCCUGGUGUAGCGGUGAAAUGCGUAGAGAUCAGGAAGAACACCGGUGGCGAAAGCGCUCUGCUAGGCCGCAACUGACACUGAGGGACGAAAGCUAGGGGAGCGAAUGGGAUUAGAUACCCCAGUAGUCCUAGCCGUAAACGAUGGAUACUAGGCGUGGCUUGUAUCGACCCGAGCCGUGCCGUAGCUAACGCGUUAAGUAUCCCGCCUGGGGAGUACGCACGCAAGUGUGAAACUCAAAGGAAUUGACGGGGGCCCGCACAAGCGGUGGAGUAUGUGGUUUAAUUCGAUGCAACGCGAAGAACCUUACCAAGACUUGACAUGUCGCGAAUCCUCUUGAAAGGGAGGAGUGCCUUCGGGAGCGCGAACACAGGUGGUGCAUGGCUGUCGUCAGCUCGUGUCGUGAGAUGUUGGGUUAAGUCCCGCAACGAGCGCAACCCUCGUUUUUAGUUGCCAGCAUUAAGUUGGGCACUCUAGAGAGACUGCCGGUGACAAACCGGAGGAAGGUGGGGAUGACGUCAAGUCAGCAUGCCCCUUACGUCUUGGGCUACACACGUACUACAAUGCUACGGACAAAGGGCAGCUACACAGCGAUGUGAUGCAAAUCUCAGAAACCGUAGCUCAGUUCAGAUCGCAGGCUGCAACUCGCCUGCGUGAAGGAGGAAUCGCUAGUAAUUGCAGGUCAGCAUACUGCAGUGAAUUCGUUCCCGGGCCUUGUACACACCGCCCGUCACACCAUGGAAGCUGGCAACGCCCGAAGUCAUUACUCCAACCUUUCGGGGAGGAGGAUGCCUAAGGCAGUGCUGGUGACUGGGGUGAAGUCGUAACAAGGUAGCCGUACCGGAAGGUGUGGCUGGAUCACCUCCU
RNAcentral lists this ribosomal RNA (1162 nucleotides) under Calothrix sp. RSUAII_16S23S_9CNC. RNAcentral's name for it is "bacterial SSU rRNA". It matches the Rfam family "Bacterial small subunit ribosomal RNA", at positions 356 to 1531 of the family's 1533-position model. Lineage: Bacteria; Bacillati; Cyanobacteriota; Cyanophyceae; Nostocales; Calotrichaceae. The record is from RNAcentral.